RNAcentral lists this ribosomal RNA (253 nucleotides) under uncultured bacterium. Its description in RNAcentral is "partial 16S ribosomal RNA". It matches the Rfam family "Bacterial small subunit ribosomal RNA", at positions 524 to 776 of the family's 1533-position model. The record is from RNAcentral.
UACGGAGGGGGCUAGCGUUGUUCGGAAUUACUGGGCGUAAAGCGCACGUAGGCGGCUUUGUAAGUUAGAGGUGAAAGCCCAGGGCUCAACCCUGGAAUUGCCUUUAAGACUGCAUCGCUUGAAUUGUGGAGAGGUAAGUGGAAUUCCGAGUGUAGAGGUGAAAUUCGUAGAUAUUCGGAAGAACACCAGUGGCGAAGGCGGCUCACUGGACUGGUAUUGACGCUGAGGUGCGAAAGCGUGGGGAGCAAACAGG